This 74-nucleotide transfer RNA is filed under the name Cylindrospermum sp. NIES-4074. Its description in RNAcentral is "tRNA-Trp". It matches the Rfam family "tRNA". Rfam says of the family: Transfer RNA (tRNA) molecules are approximately 80 nucleotides in length. Their secondary structure includes four short double-helical elements and three loops (D, anti-codon, and T loops). The record is from RNAcentral. Lineage: Bacteria; Bacillati; Cyanobacteriota; Cyanophyceae; Nostocales; Nostocaceae.
UGUAGGGAUGGUGUAACGGCAACAUCACGGUCUCCAAAACCGUUAGUUCUAGGUUCAAAUCCUAGUCCCUGCGU